This 73-nucleotide transfer RNA is filed under the name Yokenella regensburgei. RNAcentral describes it as "tRNA-Phe". RNAcentral also lists the same sequence under 4 other names. Lineage: Bacteria; Pseudomonadati; Pseudomonadota; Gammaproteobacteria; Enterobacterales; Enterobacteriaceae. The record is from RNAcentral.
AUAGAGCAUUUGGUCUUUUUUGAAGGGAUUGAAAAUCCCCGUGUCCUUGGUUCGAUUCCGAGUCCGGGCACCA